AUCCCGUGCUGACCCACUCUCUGUAGAACCCCUCUCCACCUUUGUCGUUAAAUCCCUCACCGAACAUCUCCUCUCCGUCGAACCCCUCUCCGCCGAACCUCUCCGUCUAACCUCCCUUUUCGUCUCUGCCGAACCCCUAAACCUCCCUUUCACUUUCUUCUUUGUGUGAACCCUCAGUGGUGUUGUUGGUCCUUCAACAACUCGCAAUUGUUGUUUGGUCCCUUCAAAACCUAAAUUUGUAGUUUAUGUUGCUUGAAUGCCCAUUUAGAUUUUGAAAAUUAUUGUGUUAUAAUGUAUAUUAGUGCAGGAAGCAAAAAGAUCUUUAUCUCUGGAUGGUGAAGUCUCCUGGAAGACUUUAUGUGAAGUUCUUAGUCAAUUGCACACAAUGAAGGAGCUAAAUCUUACUGGAAAUCAUCUAAAAGGAUCACGCCCAAUUUUGACAUUUUCCUCAAAUUUUGACAACGAACCUCGUAGAACCUUGCUGGAAACUUCUGAAAGAAACUAUUAUACAGGUCGCUAGUGGUAGCAUUGGUAGUAGUAUUGGUAAUGAUGUUGGCAACAAUAACCGUGAGGAAAAAUAAUAAUGUUGAUAAUGUUAACCCAUCUCUAAUGGUAGCUCAGGUGAAGGAUGUGAGUCAUAGAGAUAUCAAGGAUAAUGCUAAAUGUAAGCUACUUCAUUGAUGCAUUGAUGGAGUUGUGGCAAAAGGUCAAAUUGCAUCCAUAGAUCCAAAAGCAAAAAUGCAUCACAUUCUUCUUGGCGGAUCAUGUUGGAAAGUUUGGGUUGAUAAAGUUCUUGUAGAGAAGGUGAACUUAAUUCGACCAAAUAAUGAAAUUCUUUUUCUCAAGAAUGAAAUAGGAAGUACAGUUGCUUGGUUAUCUAAAUUUAUA
Zingiber officinale is the source of this 888-nucleotide long non-coding RNA. RefSeq lists it as uncharacterized. The transcript has 4 exons. The record is from RefSeq and is a predicted model, not a curated record. NCBI's taxonomy places the organism in Eukaryota, Viridiplantae, Streptophyta, Magnoliopsida, Zingiberales, Zingiberaceae.